AGAGUUUGAUCCUGGCUCAGGACGAACGCUGGCGGCACGCUUAACACAUGCAAGUCGAACGAGAGAAGAGGAGCUUGCUUUUCUGAUCUAGUGGCGGACGGGUGAGUAACACGUGAGCAAUCUGCCUUUCAGAGGGGGAUACCGAUUGGAAACGAUCGUUAAUACCGCAUAACAUAAUUGAACCGCAUGAUUUGAUUAUCAAAGAUUUAUCGCUGAAAGAUGAGCUCGCGUCUGACUAGCUAGUUGGUAAGGUAACGGCUUACCAAGGCGACGAUCAGUAGCCGGACUGAGAGGUUGAUCGGCCACAUUGGGACUGAGACACGGCCCAGACUCCUACGGGAGGCAGCAGUGGGGAAUAUUGCACAAUGGAGGAAACUCUGAUGCAGCGAUGCCGCGUGAGGGAAGAAGGUUUUAGGAUUGUAAACCUCUGUCUUCAGGGACGAAAAAAGACGGUACCUGAGGAGGAAGCUCCGGCUAACUACGUGCCAGCAGCCGCGGUAAUACGUAGGGAGCGAGCGUUGUCCGGAAUUACUGGGUGUAAAGGGAGCGUAGGCGGGAUCGCAAGUCAGAUGUGAAAACUAUGGGCUUAACCCAUAAACUGCAUUUGAAACUGUGUUCUUGAGUGAAGUAGAGGUAAGCGGAAUUCCUAGUGUAGCGGUGAAAUGCGUAGAUAUUAGGAGGAACAUCAGUGGCGAAGGCGGCUUACUGGGCUUUAACUGACGCUGAGGCUCGAAAGCGUGGGGAGCAAACAGGAUUAGAUACCCUGGUAGUCCACGCCGUAAACGAUGAUUACUAGGUGUGGGGGGACUGACCCCUUCCGUGCCGCAGCAAACGCAAUAAGUAAUCCACCUGGGGAGUACGACCGCAAGGUUGAAACUCAAAGGAAUUGACGGGGGCCCGCACAAGCAGUGGAGUAUGUGGAUUAAUUCGAAGCAACGCGAAGAACCUUACCAGGUCUUGACAUCGUAUGCAUAGCUCAGAGAUGAGUGAAAUCUCUUCGGAGACAUAUAGACAGGUGGUGCAUGGUUGUCGUCAGCUCGUGUCGUGAGAUGUUGGGUUAAGUCCCGCAACGAGCGCAACCCUUACUGUUAGUUGCUACGCAAGAGCACUCUAGCAGGACUGCCGUUGACAAAACGGAGGAAGGUGGGGAUGACGUCAAAUCAUCAUGCCCCUUAUGACCUGGGCCUCACACGUACUACAAUGGCUGUCAACAGAGGGAAGCAAAGCCGCGAGGUGGAGCGAACCCCUAAAAGCAGUCUUAGUUCGGAUUGUAGGCUGCAACCCGCCUACAUGAAGUCGGAAUUGCUAGUAAUCGCAGAUCAGCAUGCUGCGGUGAAUACGUUCCCGGGCCUUGUACACACCGCCCGUCACGCCAUGGGAGUCGGUAACACCCGAAGCCUGUAGUCUAACCGCAAGGAGGACGCAGUCGAAGGUGGGAUUGAUGACUGGGGUGAAGUCGAAACAAGGUA
RNAcentral lists this ribosomal RNA (1469 nucleotides) under metagenome. RNAcentral's name for it is "bacterial SSU rRNA". It matches the Rfam family "Bacterial small subunit ribosomal RNA". The record is from RNAcentral.